Molecule: ribosomal RNA, 963 nt
Filed under: Fictibacillus barbaricus
Lineage: Bacteria; Bacillati; Bacillota; Bacilli; Caryophanales; Fictibacillaceae
Description: bacterial SSU rRNA
Rfam family: Bacterial small subunit ribosomal RNA
Source: RNAcentral
CUUGCUCCUCUGAUUUAGCGGCGGACGGGUGAGUAACACGUGGGUAAUCUGCCUGUAAGACGGGGAUAACUCCGGGAAACCGGGGCUAAUACCGGAUAAUAAGAAGAAACGCAUGUCUCUUUUUUGAAAGUCGGUUUCGGCUGACACUUACAGAUGAGCCCGCGGCGCAUUAGCUAGUUGGUGAGGUAACGGCUCACCAAGGCGACGAUGCGUAGCCGACCUGAGAGGGUGAUCGGCCACACUGGGACUGAGACACGGCCCAGACUCCUACGGGAGGCAGCAGUAGGGAAUCUUCGGCAAUGGGCGAAAGCCUGACCGAGCAACGCCGCGUGAGCGAUGAAGGCCUUCGGGUCGUAAAGCUCUGUUGUUAGAGAAGAACAAGUACGAGAGUAACUGCUCGUACCUUGACGGUACCUAACCAGAAAGCCACGGCUAACUACGUGCCAGCAGCCGCGGUAAUACGUAGGUGGCAAGCGUUAUCCGGAAUUAUUGGGCGUAAAGCGCGCGCAGGCGGUCUCUUAAGUCUGAUGUGAAAGCCCACGGCUCAACCGUGGAGGGUCAUUGGAAACUGGGAGACUUGAGUGCAGGAGAGAAAAGUGGAAUUCCACGUGUAGCGGUGAAAUGCGUAGAGAUGUGGAGGAACACCAGUGGCGAAGGCGGCUUUUUGGCCUGUAACUGACGCUGAGGCGCGAAAGCGUGGGGAGCAAACAGGAUUAGAUACCCUGGUAGUCCACGCCGUAAACGAUGAGUGCUAGGUGUUGGGGGGGUUCCACCCUCAGUGCUGAAGUUAACACAUUAAGCACUCCGCCUGGGGAGUACGACCGCAAGGUUGAAACUCAAAGGAAUUGACGGGGGCCCGCACAAGCAGUGGAGCAUGUGGUUUAAUUCGAAGCAACGCGAAGAACCUUACCAGGUCUUGACAUCCUCUGACCACUCUAGAGAUAGAGCUUUCCCCUUCGGGGG